Chelonoidis abingdonii (Abingdon island giant tortoise) is the source of this 597-nucleotide non-coding RNA. NCBI's taxonomy places the organism in Eukaryota, Metazoa, Chordata, Testudines, Testudinidae. The record is from RefSeq and is a predicted model, not a curated record.
AUUUUGUAGUCUCACAGGCACUUGCUGUGGGGAUCUCUCCACUAUUCUCAGCACCAGCCAGAGCCUGACAGAGCUGGACCUCAGUUAUAAUUUUUCUCUGGGAGAUGUUGGAGUUCAGUUGCUGUGUGAGGGACUGAAACAUCCAAACUGCAAAUUACAGAUACUGGGGUUGGAGGGAUGCAGACUCUCAGGUGCGUGUUGUGGGUUUCUCUCCUCUGCUCUCAGCACCAGCCAGGCCCUGGCAGAGCUGAACCUUUGGGGGACAAAGCUGGGAGAUUCAGGAGUGCAGGUGUUGUGUGAGGGACUGAGACAUCCCAACUGCAAACUGCAGAAAAUACUGUUGGGGAGUUGCAGCCUCACAGCUGCUUGCUGUGGGGAUCUCUCCACUAUUCUCAGCACCAGCCAGAGCCUGACAGUGCUGGAACUGGCGGAUAACAAACUGGGGGAUUCAGGCGUGCAGCUGCUGUGUGAAGGACUGAAACACCCAGACUGCAAACUGCAGAAACUAGUACUGGGGUAUUGUGAUCUCACAGUUGCUUGUUGUGGGAUCUGUCCUCUGUUCUCAGCACCAGCCAGACCCUGACAGAGCUUGGCGUA